AUGAAGACAAAAAGAGAGACGAGUAGAAUUUAUCAUUCUGUCAGUGAGUUGGGAUAAGUGGGAACCCAAUCAGACCCUGAUACUUUUGAAUAACACUUUCUUAGUUUCUAACUGAAAUAGCAUAGGCUAAAGUAGGCUUAGACGUGACCGGUACGUUACCAAUCGGAGGAGUAUGUUUGUACUCUUAUUGAGGUGGCUUAUUAAAUAUAGGCAACUUGGGUGGUACCGCGGAAAGUCUUUCGUCCCUUGU
Molecule: non-coding RNA, 250 nt
Filed under: Pediococcus pentosaceus
Lineage: Bacteria; Bacillati; Bacillota; Bacilli; Lactobacillales; Lactobacillaceae
Description: T-box sequence
Rfam family: T-box leader
About the family: Uncharged tRNA acts as the effector for transcription antitermination of genes in the T-box leader family. T-boxes are found upstream of many aminoacyl-tRNA synthetase genes and some amino acid biosynthetic genes usually in Gram-positive bacteria. The anticodon of a specific tRNA base pairs to a specifier sequence within the T-box motif, and the NCCA acceptor tail of the tRNA base pairs to a conserved bulge in the T-box antiterminator hairpin.
Source: RNAcentral